Molecule: ribosomal RNA, 497 nt
Filed under: uncultured bacterium
Lineage: Bacteria
Description: partial 16S ribosomal RNA
Rfam family: Bacterial small subunit ribosomal RNA
Source: RNAcentral
GAUGAACGCUGGCGGCGUGCCUAAUACAUGCAAGUCGAGCGAACAGACGAGGAGCUUGCUCCUCUGACGUUAGCGGCGGACGGGUGAGUAACACGUGGAUAACCUACCUAUAAGACUGGGAUAACUUCGGGAAACCGGAGCUAAUACCGGAUAAUAUAUUGAACCGCAUGGUUCAAUAGUGAAAGACGGUUUUGCUGUCACUUAUAGAUGGAUCCGCGCCGCAUUAGCUAGUUGGUAAGGUAACGGCUUACCAAGGCAACGAUGCGUAGCCGACCUGAGAGGGUGAUCGGCCACACUGGAACUGAGACACGGUCCAGACUCCUACGGGAGGCAGCAGUAGGGAAUCUUCCGCAAUGGGCGAAAGCCUGACGGAGCAACGCCGCGUGAGCGAUGAAGGUCUUCGGAUCGUAAAACUCUGUUAUUAGGGAAGAACAAAUGUGUAAGUAACUAUGCACGUCUUGACGGUACCUAAUCAGAAAGCCACGGCUAACUACGUG